GGGUUGUGAGGUUAAGCGACUAAGCGUACACGGUGGAUGCCACGGCAGUCAGAGGCGAUGAAGGACGUGCUAAUCUGCGAAAAGCGUCGGUAAGGUGAUAUGAACCGUUAUAACCGGCGAUGUCCGAAUGGGGAAACCCAGUGCAAUUCGUUGCACUAUCGUUAACUGAAUACAUAGGUUAACGAGGCGAACCGGGGAACUGAAACAUCUAAGUACCCCGAGGAAAAGAAAUCAACCGAGAUUCCCCAGUAGCGGCGAGCGAACGGGGAGCAGCCAGAGUCUGAAUCAGCUUGUGUGUUAGUGGAACGGUCUGGAAAGUCCGACGGUACAGGGUGAUAGUCCCGUACACCAAAAUGCACAGGCUGUGAACUCGAAGAGUAGGGCGGGACACGUGGUAUCCUGUCUGAAUAUGGGGGACCAUCCUCCAAGGCUAAAUACUCCUGACUGACCGAUAGUGAACCAGUACCGUGAGGGAAAGGCGAAAAGAACCCCGGCGAGGGAGUGAAAAAGAACCUGAAACCGUGUACGUACAAGCAGUGGGAGCACCUUCGGGUGUGACUGCGUACCUUUGUAUAAUGGGUCAGCGACUUAUAUUCUGUAGCAAGGUUAACCGUAUAGGGGAGCCGCAGGGAAACCGAGUCUUAACUGGGCGUUAAGUUGCAGGGUAUAGACCCGAAACCCGGUGAUCUAGCCAUGGGCAGGUUGAAGGUUGGGUAACACUAACUGGAGGACCGAACCGACUAAUGUUGAAAAAUUAGCGGAUGACUUGUGGCUGGGGGUGAAAGGCCAAUCAAACCGGGAGAUAGCUGGUUCUCCCGAAAGCUAUUUAGGUAGCGCCUCGUGAACUCAUCUUCGGGGGUAGAGCACUGUUUCGGCUAGGGGUCAUCCCGACUUACCAACCCGAUGCAAACUACGAAUACCGAAGAAUGUUAUCACGGGAGACACACGGCGGGUGCUAACGUCCGUCGUGAAGAGGAAACAACCCAGACCGCCAGCUAAGGUCCCAAAGUCAUGGUUAAGUGGGAAACGAUGUGGGAAGGCACAGACAGCCGGGAUGUUGGCUUAGAAGCAGCCAUCAUUUAAAGAAAGCGUAAUAGCUCACUGGUCGAGUCGGCCUGCGCGGAAGAUGUAACGGGGCUAAACCAUGCACCGAAGCUGCGGCAGCGACACUAUGUGUUGUUGGGUAGGGGAGCGUUCUGUAAGCCUGCGAAGGUGUGCUGUGAGGCAUGCUGGAGGUAUCAGAAGUGCGAAUGCUGACAUAAGUAACGAUAAAGCGGGUGAAAAGCCCGCUCGCCGGAAGACCAAGGGUUCCUGUCCAACGUUAAUCGGGGCAGGGUGAGUCGACCCUAAGGCGAGGCCGAAAGGCGUAGUCGAUGGGAAACAGGUUAAUAUUCCUGUACUUGGUGUUACUGCGAAGGGGGACGGAGAAGGCUAUGUUAGCCGGGCGACGGUUGUCCCGGUUUAAGCAUGUAGGCUGAUUGUCGAGGCAAAUCCGGAUAAUCAAGGCUGAGGUGUGAUGACGAGGCACUACGGUGCUGAAGUAACAAAUGCCCUGCUUCGGGGAAAAGCCUCUAAGCAUCAGGUAACAUCAAAUCGUACCCCAAACCGACACAGGUGGUCAGGUAGAGAAUACCAAGGCGCUUGAGAGAACUCGGGUGAAGGAACUAGGCAAAAUGGUGCCGUAACUUCGGGAGAAGGCACGCUGGUGUGUAGGUGAAGUCCCUGCGGAUGGAGCUGAGACCAGUCGAAGAUACCAGCUGGCUGCAACUGUUUAUUAAAAACACAGCACUGUGCAAACACGAAAGUGGACGUAUACGGUGUGACGCCUGCCCGGUGCCGGAAGGUUAAUUGAUGGGGUUAUCCGUAAGGAGAAGCUCUUGAUCGAAGCCCGGUAAACGGCGGCCGUAACUAUAACGGUCCUAAGGUAGCGAAAUUCCUUGUCGGGUAAGUUCCGACCUGCACGAAUGGCGUAAUGAUGGCGGGCUGUCUCCACCCGAGACUCAGUGAAAUUGAACUCGCUGUGAAGAUGCAGUGUACCCGCGGCAAGACGGAAAGACCCCGUGAACCUUUACUAUAGCUUGACACUGAACAUUGAGCCUUGAUGUGUAGGAUAGGUGGGAGGCUUUGAAGCGUGGACGCCAGUCUGCGUGGAGCCAACCUUGAAAUACCACCCUUUAAUGUUUGAUGUUCUAACGUUGGCCCCUGACCGGGGUUGCGGACAGUGUCUGGUGGGUAGUUUGACUGGGGCGGUCUCCUCCCAAAGCGUAACGGAGGAGCACGAAGGUUAGCUAAUCCGGUCGGACAUCAGGAGGUUAGUGCAAUGGCAUAAGCUAGCUUGACUGCGAGCGUGACGGCGCGAGCAGGUGCGAAAGCAGGUCAUAGUGAUCCGGUGGUUCUGAAUGGAAGGGCCAUCGCUCAACGGAUAAAAGGUACUCCGGGGAUAACAGGCUGAUACCGCCCAAGAGUUCAUAUCGACGGCGGUGUUUGGCACCUCGAUGUCGGCUCAUCACAUCCACGGGGCUGAAGUAGGUCCCAAGGGUAUGGCUGUUCGCCAUUUAAAGUGGUACGCGAGCUGGGUUUAGAACGUCGUGAGACAGUUCGGUCCCCUAUCUGCCGUGGGCGCUGGAGAAUUGAGGGGGCUGCUCCUAGUACGAGAGGACCGGAGUGGACGCAUCACUGGUGUUCGGGUUGUCAUGCCAAUGGCACUGCCCGGUAGCUAAAUGCGGAAGAGAUAAGUGCUGAAAGCAUCUAAGCACGAAACUUGCCCCGAGAUGAGUUCUCCCUGAGACUUUAAGUCUCCUGAAGGAACGUUGAAGACGACGACGUUGAUAGGCCGGGUGUGUAAGCGCAGCGAUGCGUUGAGCUAACCGGUACUAAUGAACCGUGAGGCUUAACCUUACAACGCCGAAG
This 2910-nucleotide ribosomal RNA is filed under the name Klebsiella pneumoniae. RNAcentral's name for it is "23S ribosomal RNA". It matches the Rfam family "Bacterial large subunit ribosomal RNA". The record is from RNAcentral. Lineage: Bacteria; Pseudomonadati; Pseudomonadota; Gammaproteobacteria; Enterobacterales; Enterobacteriaceae.